GAUAAUUAUUGGUGGGAAAAAAUAAAAAUAAACUCAAUAGUAGUAAUGGAGAUUCCCGCCCCCUAUCAAGGUUUUGUCACAGACAGAGAGAAUGGUGAAGGCUUCAGCGGCGUCGUCGUCCAAGAAAAACUCAGAGCCAGAUGUCCUAGAGCGAAAGAGAUUAAAGAAACUAGCACUCUCCAACAAUCUCUUAUCGGAGACCCCAGCAAAGACCUAUUCGCCACUCGCUCCGUCAAAAACCGUCUUAAAACACCACGGCAAAGAUAUUCUCAGGAAAUCUCAGAGAAAGAAUCGGUUUCUCUUCUCUUUUCCUGGUCUUCUUGCUCCUAUUGCCUCCGGCGGCAAGAUUGGGGAGCUCAAGGAUUUGGGAACCAAAAACCCCAUUCUUUAUCUCCAUUUCCCUCAGGGGCAAAUGAAGCUGUUUGGUACUAUUGUCUAUCCUAAGAACAGAUACUUGACAAUGCAAUUCUCUAGAGGUGGCAAGAACGUUAUGUGUGAGGAUAACUUCGAUAGCAUGAUUGUGUUUUCUGAAGCUUGGUGGAUUGGAACACAAGAAGAGAACCCAGAAGAAGCACGACUUGAUUUUCCCAAGCAAUUGAUUGAGGGACAAGGACCACAAGUUGAAUGUGACUUUAAGGGAGGGGCAGGUGCAAUGUCUGCAAUUAAGCAAGCUGUUAACAGAAGUGCUACAAAAUAUGAAGAAAAGUCCCCUGAAACUGAGCCUGAAAAUUAUUCAUCAGAUGAUAAAAACAAUUUGAAAGCUUUGGAGGGAACUACGCCAAUUCAACAUUCUGAGAGAACUGCUAGGAAAACAUUCAAGUCUACUGACGUUUCUUCUGGUGAUGAUUCUGUUGAAAGUGUAGCGGCUGAGGAAGGAGGAGAAGAAAAGAAGGUAAAAUCUCCUCCUGGUUCCACCAUAGUCCUUGACCUUGACAAUGAAGGUUCAAUAGGAGGGAAUCAUCUUUCCCCACAAAUUCAAGCACAUGCUAUGUCGGAGACAAAGUCUAAAAGGGUCUCAGAAUCUGCUGUCUUAGCAGCAACGUCUAAUGAAAAUUCACACUCUAAUCGUGGUUCACUUGUUCAAGCUACAAUAUCCACAUUAUUCAAUAAAGCACGUGGAAAAAAGAAAGUGGAAGAAAAGAAUGAGCCAAGAAAUUCAAGGAUAUCCUCAUCAUCAAAAAGGAAGAUUGAUCAGGCUGGAGGGCCGAGAAAAAGAGGAAAAUUGACUGAAGGGAAAAAAGCUGGUACAGGAAUUAAGGAAAAGAAGGAAAUUUACGAGAUUCUACCAAGAAGUGGCUAACAUGGUAAAGGAACCUUGUAGGUUGAAGAUGAUGACAUUGAAGAAUUCUCAAGCUCAACCCAGGAGGAUACUGAAGGAAGUGAUGAAGAUUGGGAAGCUUGAGAUUGUAACUCAACCUGAGUGGAUGAAAGUACCAUUUUAACCUUGUACAGCAUAUAAGCCUCCAAUAAAAAAAAAAAAAAAAAAUUUAAGGAUUUUUUUAAUUGCCAGAUGAAAUAUAUAUAUUUAUGCAUGCAUGCAUGCUUGCUUGCUUCCUUACCA
Jatropha curcas is the source of this 1561-nucleotide RNA transcript. It is a transcript of the gene named root hair initiation protein root hairless 1 (RHL1), with no coding region annotated. The record is from RefSeq and is a predicted model, not a curated record. NCBI's taxonomy places the organism in Eukaryota, Viridiplantae, Streptophyta, Magnoliopsida, Malpighiales, Euphorbiaceae.